RNAcentral lists this ribosomal RNA (549 nucleotides) under uncultured Glomeromycotina. RNAcentral describes it as "SSU rRNA". It matches the Rfam family "Eukaryotic small subunit ribosomal RNA", at positions 548 to 1098 of the family's 1831-position model. The record is from RNAcentral. Lineage: Eukaryota; Fungi; Glomeromycota.
UUGGAGGGCAAGUCUGGUGCCAGCAGCCGCGGUAAUUCCAGCUCCAAUAGCGUAUAUUAAAGUUGUUGCAGUUAAAAAGCUCGUAGUUGAAUUUCGGGGUUAGUAGGUUGGUCAUGCCUCUGGUAUGUACUGGUCUCACUGAUUCCUCCUUCCUGAUGAACCGUAAUGCCAUUAAUUUGGUGUUGCGGGGAAUUUGGACUGUUACUUUGAAAAAAUUAGAGUGUUUAAAGCAAGCUAACGCUUGAAUACAUUAGCAUGGAAUAAUGAAAUAGGACGUUCGAUCCUAUUUUGUUGGUUUCUAGGAUUGACGUAAUGAUUAAUAGGGAUAGUUGGGGGCAUUAGUAUUCAAUUGUCAGAGGUGAAAUUCUUGGAUUUAUUGAAGACUAACUACUGCGAAAGCAUUUGCCAAGGAUGUUUUCAUUAAUCAAGAACGAAAGUUAGGGGAUCGAAGACGAUCAGAUACCGUCGUAGUCUUAACCAUAAACUAUGCCGACUAGGGAUCGGAUGAUGUUAAUUUUUUAAUGGCUCAUUCGGCGCCUUACGGGAAAC